Molecule: non-coding RNA, 72 nt
Organism: Ciona savignyi (Pacific transparent sea squirt)
Lineage: Eukaryota; Metazoa; Chordata; Ascidiacea; Phlebobranchia; Cionidae
Source: Rfam
GGGGAUAUAGCUCAAUGGUAGAGCAUUCGACUGCAGUUCGAGAGGUCUCUGAUUCAAAUCCGGGUGUCCCCU